CUCCAGACUCCUACGGGAGGCAGCAGUGGGGGAUAUUGCACAAUGGGGGGAACCCUGAUGCAGCGACGCCACGUGGGUGAAGAAGCGCCUCGGCGCGUAAAGCCCUGUCAGCAGGGAAGAAAAUGACGGUACCUGAAGAAGAAGCCCCGGCUAACUCCGUGCCAGCAGCCGCGGUAAUACGUAGGGGGCAAGCGUUAUCCGGAUUUACUGGGUGUAAAGGGAGCGUAGACGGUGAAGCAAGUCUGAAGUGAAAGGCGGGGGCUCAACCCCCGAACUGCUUUGGAAACUGUUUGACUGGAGUGCAGGAGAGGUAAGUGGAAUUCCUAGUGUAGCGGUGAAAUGCGUAGAUAUUAGGAGGAACACCAGUGGCGAAGGCGGCUUACUGGACUGUAACUGACGUUGAGGCUCGAAAGCGUGGGGAGCAAACAGGAUUAGAUACCCGCGUAGCA
This 449-nucleotide ribosomal RNA is filed under the name uncultured bacterium. RNAcentral describes it as "partial 16S ribosomal RNA". It matches the Rfam family "Bacterial small subunit ribosomal RNA", at positions 329 to 795 of the family's 1533-position model. The record is from RNAcentral.